AAUAAUUCCUUGGCUGCCUCAGUUACUGCCAUGUAUUCUGCUUCAGUUGUAGAUAAUGCCACAAGUGAUUGCACCAUUGACCUCCAACAUAUGGGCCCACUCGCGAGUGUGAAAACAUAACCUGUAUGAGACCUACUGUCAUCCAAGUCCCCUGCAUAAUCUGCAUCUACAUAUCCUUGAACUGAAAUAUCACCAUGUUGUCUCUCAAACAUGAUCCCGCACUCCAUUGUACCUUUCAAGUACCUGAAAAUCCACUUUACAGCUCUCCAAUGCUCUCUACCAGGAUUAGCCAUAUACUUACUAACCACGCUGACUGCAUGUGCUAAAUCUGGUCUGGUACACACCAUUGCAUACAUCAAACAUCCAACUGCGCUGGCAUAAGGUACCUUUGACAUCUCUGCAACAUCUUCUUCACUCUUUGGGCACUGAGAUAAUCUGAAGUGAUUUGCAAGUGGUGUGGCAACUGAUUUUGCAUCUGACAUGCUAAACAUCUCUAACACUUUCUUCAAAUAGUUUUUCUGAGACACCCAUAAUUUUCUGGCUUUCCUAUCUCUGUUGAUCUCCAUGCCAAGAAUUUUCUUAGCUGGUCCCAAGUCUUUCAUAUCAAACUUACUGCUCAACAAAGAUUUCAAUUUGUCUACCUCAUCUAUAUUCUUG
This 657-nucleotide long non-coding RNA is filed under the name Olea europaea subsp. europaea. Lineage: Eukaryota; Viridiplantae; Streptophyta; Magnoliopsida; Lamiales; Oleaceae. The record is from RNAcentral.